GGCCUCGUAGCUCAGCUGGUGGAGCACUCGCGGUACUAAAGCUAGGGUGAUGGCCAUGAUGGGGUUCGAAUCCCGCCGGGGCCA
This 84-nucleotide transfer RNA is filed under the name Fasciola hepatica (liver fluke). It matches the Rfam family "tRNA". Rfam says of the family: Transfer RNA (tRNA) molecules are approximately 80 nucleotides in length. Their secondary structure includes four short double-helical elements and three loops (D, anti-codon, and T loops). The record is from Rfam by way of RNAcentral. Lineage: Eukaryota; Metazoa; Platyhelminthes; Trematoda; Plagiorchiida; Fasciolidae.